RNAcentral lists this transfer RNA (68 nucleotides) under Hypsiglena torquata (night snake). RNAcentral's name for it is "tRNA-Ser". It matches the Rfam family "tRNA". From Rfam's summary of the family: Transfer RNA (tRNA) molecules are approximately 80 nucleotides in length. Their secondary structure includes four short double-helical elements and three loops (D, anti-codon, and T loops). The record is from RNAcentral. Lineage: Eukaryota; Metazoa; Chordata; Lepidosauria; Squamata; Dipsadidae.
GGGAAUAAAGCAUAAGUAUGCGGUUAACUUGAAAUUAACAGAUGGCAGUUCAAUUCUGUCUUUUCUCG